CCUGGCCUUGGGCCGCUCACGGGAGCUCGUCGCUUGCGACGGUGCUCUCGGGGGUGCUUAGCCCUUGAUCAUUACCUUGAUUAUACGCACCUUCGUUGUUCCCUCGGCAGUUCGCUGCCGCCAGGGACCCGUAAACCCUUUUGUAUAAGCAUUAAACGUCUGAAAACAAAUUUUAAUUAUUUA
This 183-nucleotide unclassified non-coding RNA is filed under the name uncultured Dothideomycetes. RNAcentral describes it as "sequence contains ITS1". The record is from RNAcentral. Lineage: Eukaryota; Fungi; Ascomycota; Dothideomycetes.